GGAACUGCGGAAACAGCUUAAACCACUCAAGGAGAAAUUUAUGAGAAUCAAGAGCAGUCUUCACAUCACCGGUAUUAUAAUCAGAUUCAUCUUUUGAAUAAGACAGCCCAACUCCAGCAGGCGAAUCCAAAUAUAUGAUGUUGGAGACCUUCGACCAGCUGUAAGGAUUAAGAUGAAGUUUUGGAAGGCCACCCGUUGUGUUUGCUGCUUCAAAGUUGAAUGGCCCAUGUUCAUAAACG
This 239-nucleotide unclassified non-coding RNA is filed under the name Hevea brasiliensis (rubber tree). The record is from RNAcentral. Lineage: Eukaryota; Viridiplantae; Streptophyta; Magnoliopsida; Malpighiales; Euphorbiaceae.